Molecule: non-coding RNA, 918 nt
Organism: Lolium perenne
Lineage: Eukaryota; Viridiplantae; Streptophyta; Magnoliopsida; Poales; Poaceae
Source: RefSeq, a predicted model, not a curated record
UGUUUUACUUUGCAGCUCCAAUGCCCCCAAAUGUCCGGCCGUCAACUCGCUGAGGCCCCGUUCCACUCCCUCCCUCUUCCCAAAUCGUCGCUGCCGCCGUCUGUGCUUCCGGCUGGGCCUCCUACGACACCGACCUAACGACCUGCAGCUCGGCGCGUAGGCCUUCGCCUACCCCGGCGUCGCGGCCCGAUCUGGAGCUUGCCGCGCGCGAGGGCUCUGCCUACGCCCGCGCCGCCGCCGUUGAAGAGCACCGAAGAGUGCGCUAAAGACGGCGCCGCCGACGCGUGGGUGUUCGACGUCGAUGAGAUGAUGCUCUCCAAACUCCCCUACUACGCGCAGCACAGAUACGUAUGGGAGAGGCGGCAGUGAUCCAUUCCAGCAUGACUGUUGUACAAGGAGGUGUGAGAGCUCGGCUUCAAGACCUUCUUGCUCAGCGGCUGCAUCGAGGGUCACAAGGGUGUCACGGUGGACAAUCUAAAAAAAAGGGUUCCAUGAGUGGGGCAAGCUUUCCUGAGUUUGGGCAGUCAUUAAGCACUACGGCCAGCUAUGCAAGUCGACGGCUACAACAUGCAGUAUCCACAGAUGUUCCCAUCUCAUCUGUGGCCUCUAGAGAUGCUGCUGUAACAGUCUUUGUACGGAAAUAUGGACAGCAAUUGUCACUUGCAGGGAGUCCUCAAGCCCAAGCAGGUACUACUAGCAUCUUUUAUACAUCUACUUCAUACUUCUCUAACAAUUUGGCUUUGGUUGUUCAAGCCAGACAGUGUCUGGCUAAACAAAGCAAUAAGUACGACCUUUUAGAGUUUAGUACAUAUAUUCCUCAUGGUAAAUAAAUCGCAUCCCGUAAUAAUAGAUUAUAUUUCAAUAUAUUAUAGCUCUAUCUGCUCUAGCGUAUUACUGACAUAUUAGCUUCAUGUAUGG